Molecule: long non-coding RNA, 3479 nt
Filed under: Centruroides sculpturatus (bark scorpion)
Lineage: Eukaryota; Metazoa; Arthropoda; Arachnida; Scorpiones; Buthidae
Description: uncharacterized LOC111630926, transcript variant X2
Source: RNAcentral
GAACAAUUCGGAUAGCGAACAAAGUCUUGGAAUGGAUUAUGUUCGUUAACCGAUCACCCACUGUAAUUUGUGAACAGGUGCACAAAACUUUGCCAAUUGGUUGUGGCUGUUGAGAUCAAGGUUACCUGCCUCAUUGCUUGCAAUCUCGUGAAUGUAACUGCAAGAGCAUCAUCUCUGUAUCUGAUUGAUAAUUGGCCAAUUGUAUAGCCACUGUGUGCAAUGAUUUACAUUUGCAUUGGCUACUGGUAACUGUAUUGGGACUGAUGCAGCAUUACAUCUUAAUGGCAGAUGACUGAGUCCAAUCAAAUUGAAGUUUCUCAAUGAGCAUUUUUAUUGGUUCUACGGAAUAAAUUGACCCAAUAUGUGAUGAUCAGAGAUAUCGUGCAAUUUUAUGAGAAAGAUGAAUGGAAAUCAUGAGUGACAUCAUAAUGCAUAUCUCAGCAGCAUUAGACAACAUACUGCUCAGCAAAACAAUCACUCUUGUAUGUUGCACAAGUGCAAGCACACUGCAUGCAAUUAUUUGUAAAUCCUGGUUAUAUGUAGAAGAACAGAAUUGAAGGCUUUUUUGAUGUUUUUCAUUGUAUUUUGUUGUAUUCUUUUAGGUGGAGAACAAGAACAGACAAGUUCUUUGGCAGCACAUGCUUAGAUACAUUGCUCCAGGAACAACUAUAGUUUCCAACAGUGUAUCCCAAUAUCAAGGCUAUAUGGCUUUAAAACUUUCUUUCAAGAAACCCAAACCACAGUCAAUGAGCCAAGGGAGAUUUGUUGACAUUGAUGAUCCUGAAGCCCAUUCUCAAAAAUCCAGAAUCAAAUUUAAUGGCUAAAAGUCCAUGAUGAUGAUAUGAAUGGGCAGGAGUCUGCAAGUUAACAGAAGGUGCUUCAGACAGGAAUCACAUUCUAUGUCUACAGAAUGUGAUUCCUGUCUGAAGCAAUAACACCAUCAGUAUAAUUCCAGCAUUUUCUCGAGAACAUCACAGCUAUCUAAUUAGGCUCCAGUCAAAAGUGCCUCCAAUUCUUCAAGACUGGAAUGCUUACUGACUAUCUGUCAAUCAACAAGUUAUCCUAUUUCAAUGUUAUCAUGCAUGAGGAUGAUGAUGAGGAACAGCAGGGAGAGAUGACCACGUACAAUAUCAAGCACCUUUGUCAUCGAUCCCCAGAACCUAGUAGAAAGUUGGGCCCAAUGACUUCACCCUAUUCUUUACUGAACAUCCAGAAGAGGCCAAUUGUUGCUGGGUAGCCAGAAGACAUUGUGAAAGACAUGGAUGAAGAAAGACAUUGUCAAAAACAAUCACUACAAACUCUUAUGAGCCAUUCCUGGAAAACUAUAACUGUGUUCAACUGAGCAUUAUCUUGAUGGACAAUGGUUAUUUCAGACCAGCAAGCAGGCUGCAUGCCACUCAAAAAUAAAGACAGAAUUGAAGUUGGAUUGAAGAAUUGAAGUUUAAGAUCAUUGUUUGGCACUUCAGCUCAACAGUGGUCCAUCACACACAUACACAAUGAUCAUCCAUUCCCAAACAGAAUUGGAAUUUGUUGUUAAAGACUAGUGUUGCGCUGAUAACUGAUUGAUAAAUUGAUUUUGACACUGCAACAACACUCUAGUGCGAAUUUUCUGACAGCUGGGGAAAUUAUGAUGAUUAUUAUAUCAAGUGACCAAAAAAGUUUGUCCACAUAUUUUCCAUUAGAAUGAUACCUGAAACUUUGUGCAGUUUUCUGUUGUGUGUCAUAGUGAUCAGAUAAUAUCAGGAAGAAGAAACAGGCAGUUCAUGAAACAGUGAAGAGUGAGGAAAAAGAUGGUUAACCUGACUGCAGUUAUUCAAGAGUGCUUACUCUAUGAGUUUAAACUGGGCACUAUUGUGAUUCAAGCAUCCCACAAGAUAAGUGUAGUAUUUGGAAAGAAUACAGUGAGCCCAAAAGUGCUCAGAAAAUUUUCAUUGGAUGAUGAGGACUCUUGAAGAUGCACCUCGCAAGAGAAGACAGCAUCAUUGAUGAGGAUAAACUGAAAGUGGCCAUUGAGUUAAUGCAAGACAAACAUGAUUUAACUUUUUUGCAAACUCCUAUGUGAAUGUUAAACCAUUUGAUUGCAUUUUCAUAGCCUAGGAAAAUUCUGGAAGCUGAGCAAAUGGAUUUCAUGUGAACUGAGUGCCAAUAACAAGCUUCAGAGGCUUAUGAUCUGCUUGUUGCUGCCUUUAAAAUCCAAUAAUGAGCCAUUUUUAGACUGGUUGUUGAUGUAUGAUAAAAAUGAGUUAAAUAUGACAACACCAAAUGUUUCUAUCAUUGGUUAUUGUCCAGUGAAUCUCUACUGCAUAUGCCAAAGCCAAAUGUCCAUUGAUAGAAAACUUUUUGUUGUGUGUCUCGUAACCAACAGCUGGAAUUGCUCAUUAUGAGUUUCUUUCCCUUGGCCAAACAAUCACUGCAAAUAUCUACUCAGAACAAUUGCAAUGGUCCAAGAUGCACUGCUCCAGAAACAACCUACACUCAUUAAUUGCAAAGGUAUUGUGUUCCUUCAAGACAAUGUGUGACUCCACAGCCUUAGUUGGAAAAUUCUAUCCCAUCCUCCAUUACCAUCAGACAACACCUUUUUUCGCACUGGAAAAUCAUAUGCACAACUGAUAGUUUUGAAACUGAGCAGCACUGGCAACAGGAUUGAAGGAUUUCUUCACUUCUAAAAAUUGGGACUUUUCCCAAUUUUUAGGAGUGGUAUUUACAAACUUGUGUCUCGUUGAAAUUAGGCUGUACAUUGUGAUGGUGCUAACUUUACUGAAUAAAAUAUCUUCAUUCACUUUUUACCUCAAAACCACACAAACUUUUUUGGUCACCUGAUAAUUAUUAACAAAUACCAAUAUAAAAAUUGCCAAUAAAAGUCAGUAUUCAUCUAGAUUAUUGAUAACAAUAAAUUUUAGUUUAAGUUUGAUAUAUUAGUUAUUGACACAGCACUAUUGAUAAUUUUCUGUAUUCAAUAUUUUUCGGUAUUUAUUGAAAUUUACCAAUUAUCAAUAUAAUAAAGAAAUCUCUGUAUCAAACCCAAUAUUGAUAUAGCACUGACCUACUAAAGUCCCAUGCUGCUACUUUGUCACGGCACCUCUGCAAAUGAAACCCACAAUAUUGAGAUGCUAACAGCAGUAACAGUGCAUGCAAUUUUGCCUCUGAUAGUUGCCUGCCAAUGGUACAGGAAGAAUCAAAUAACAAGUAUACUAAGAAUUAUGAACACAGUCUCUGUGAGCCUUUUUAUAGAAUAAUGGGAAAGAAAUUUUAAGGCCAUCUGGCUGCUUACCCAGCAUGCAAUCAGAUCUUGACUGUAAUUAUUUACAUACCUGUCUAAGACAUAUCUGGAUGUUGAGUUUUGUAAUAAUUGGUCAAUUCUAUCUGGGUAUAUAGCUUUUUUUGUCAAUGAGUAUAUUUAUUUAGAUUCUAUAAAUUACUGAUAAGAAUUGAAUUACAAUAAAAGUAAUAAAGUUUUGAAAAGUUUAUUUCAUUACCUG